Molecule: ribosomal RNA, 1375 nt
Filed under: Enterococcus durans
Lineage: Bacteria; Bacillati; Bacillota; Bacilli; Lactobacillales; Enterococcaceae
Description: bacterial SSU rRNA
Rfam family: Bacterial small subunit ribosomal RNA
Source: RNAcentral
GACGAACGCUGGCGGCGUGCCUAAUACAUGCAAGUCGUACGCUUCUUUUUCCACCGGAGCUUGCUCCACCGGAAAAAGAAGAGUGGCGAACGGGUGAGUAACACGUGGGUAACCUGCCCAUCAGAAGGGGAUAACACUUGGAAACAGGUGCUAAUACCGUAUAACAAUCGAAACCGCAUGGUUUUGAUUUGAAAGGCGCUUUCGGGUGUCGCUGAUGGAUGGACCCGCGGUGCAUUAGCUAGUUGGUGAGGUAACGGCUCACCAAGGCCACGAUGCAUAGCCGACCUGAGAGGGUGAUCGGCCACAUUGGGACUGAGACACGGCCCAAACUCCUACGGGAGGCAGCAGUAGGGAAUCUUCGGCAAUGGACGAAAGUCUGACCGAGCAACGCCGCGUGAGUGAAGAAGGUUUUCGGAUCGUAAAACUCUGUUGUUAGAGAAGAACAAGGAUGAGAGUAACUGUUCAUCCCUUGACGGUAUCUAACCAGAAAGCCACGGCUAACUACGUGCCAGCAGCCGCGGUAAUACGUAGGUGGCAAGCGUUGUCCGGAUUUAUUGGGCGUAAAGCGAGCGCAGGCGGUUUCUUAAGUCUGAUGUGAAAGCCCCCGGCUCAACCGGGGAGGGUCAUUGGAAACUGGGAGACUUGAGUGCAGAAGAGGAGAGUGGAAUUCCAUGUGUAGCGGUGAAAUGCGUAGAUAUAUGGAGGAACACCAGUGGCGAAGGCGGCUCUCUGGUCUGUAACUGACGCUGAGGCUCGAAAGCGUGGGGAGCAAACAGGAUUAGAUACCCUGGUAGUCCACGCCGUAAACGAUGAGUGCUAAGUGUUGGAGGGUUUCCGCCCUUCAGUGCUGCAGCUAACGCAUUAAGCACUCCGCCUGGGGAGUACGACCGCAAGGUUGAAACUCAAAGGAAUUGACGGGGGCCCGCACAAGCGGUGGAGCAUGUGGUUUAAUUCGAAGCAACGCGAAGAACCUUACCAGGUCUUGACAUCCUUUGACCACUCUAGAGAUAGAGCUUCCCCUUCGGGGGCAAAGUGACAGGUGGUGCAUGGUUGUCGUCAGCUCGUGUCGUGAGAUGUUGGGUUAAGUCCCGCAACGAGCGCAACCCUUAUUGUUAGUUGCCAUCAUUCAGUUGGGCAUUCUAGCAAGACUGCCGGUGACAAACCGGAGGAAGGUGGGGAUGACGUCAAAUCAUCAUGCCCCUUAUGACCUGGGCUACACACGUGCUACAAUGGGAAGUACAACGAGUCGCGAAGUCGCGAGGCUAAGCUAAUCUCUUAAAGCUUCUCUCAGUUCGGAUUGUAGGCUGCAACUCGCCUACAUGAAGCCGGAAUCGCUAGUAAUCGCGGAUCAGCACGCCGCGGUGAAUACGUUCCC